Molecule: unclassified non-coding RNA, 635 nt
Filed under: Hevea brasiliensis (rubber tree)
Lineage: Eukaryota; Viridiplantae; Streptophyta; Magnoliopsida; Malpighiales; Euphorbiaceae
Source: RNAcentral
GCGAGAUGCCUUCGUGAAGGGGACGAGUGACCUGCCGACGGCGGCGGGGGUGGCGCUUUUCGAUACGUGCUAUGACCUGUCGGGGAGGAACAGUGUGGAAGUCCCGACUGUGGGGUUCAACUUCCCCGGUGGCGGCGAAUUGAAGCUUCCGGCGAAGAACUACUUGAUACCGGUGGACUCGGCAGGAACUUUCUGCUUGGCCUUUGCGCCGACGACGGCGCCGCUGUCGAUAAUCGGCAACGUGCAGCAGCAGGGGACACGUGUCACCAUCGAUCUAGACGAAGCUGUUGUGAAGUUUGAACUCAAUAAGUGCUAGGCCCAUCGUGUUUAUGCGUUUGCUGGUUAUUAUGGGAGUAUAGGCUAAGUGGGUGGAUAUAGUAAAUGCAGAGAUGAAGUAUUUUACUCAGUACUGUUUAUAACUGUUGCUCUGUGUGAGACGAAUGCUUGCUCUGCUCUUGUUUUGUAGUGGGGUUCACAACUUUAGUGGCGAAAGUGACGGGUAGCGGGGCCACUUGCACAUGGGUACGGGAGGAGCUGCGGCUUUGCUGGAUUUGGGUGUUGUGUUAUUGCCGAGGUCUUAUAAAAAAAUUAUUUUAUUGUGGAAGGAUAUUAUGUAUGAGUCCUUACCGAGAUUG